Molecule: ribosomal RNA, 754 nt
Filed under: uncultured bacterium
Lineage: Bacteria
Description: bacterial SSU rRNA
Rfam family: Bacterial small subunit ribosomal RNA
Source: RNAcentral
AGUCGAGGGGUAUCACGCUUUCGGGCGUGAACGACCGGCGCACGGGUGCGUAACGCGUAUGCAACCUACCUUUAACUGGGGAAUAGCUCUCGGAAACGGGAAUUAAUACCCCAUAACAUUCCGAAAUCGCAUGGUUUUGGGAUUAAAGUUCCGGCGGUUAAAGAUGGGCAUGCGUGACAUUAGCUAGUUGGUGAGGUAACUGCUCACCAAGGCUACGAUGUCUAGGGGGUCUGAGAGGAUGAUCCCCCACACUGGUACUGAGACACGGACCAGACUCCUACGGGAGGCAGCAGUGAGGAAUAUUGGGCAAUGGACGCAAGUCUGACCCAGCCAUGCCGCGUGCAGGAUGAAUGCCCUAUGGGUUGUAAACUGCUUUUAUUUGGGAAGAAACCCUCGCUCGUGAGCGAGGCCGACGGUACCAAAAGAAUAAGCAUCGGCUAACUCCGUGCCAGCAGCCGCGGUAAUACGGAGGAUGCAAGCGUUAUCCGGAUUUAUUGGGUUUAAAGGGUGCGCAGGCGGGAAAUUAAGUCAGUGGUGAAAUCCUGCAGCUUAACUGCAGAACUGCCAUUGAUACUGGUUUUCUUGAGUACAGUUGAGGUGGGCGGAAUGUGUAAUGUAGUGGUGAAAUGCUUAAAUAUUACACAGAACACCAAUUGCGUANGCAGCUCACUAAACUGUUACUGACGCUCAGGCACGAAAGCGUGGGGAGCGAACAGGAUUAUAUACCCUGGUAGUCCACGCUGUAAACGAUGAU